AGACCUGUACUCCGUACUCCGUACUCCGUAGUCGCAGCGGCGCGGUCUUCGGCAGUCUAGUCAUCCACCGCCAUCCUGGGCCCCACAUGUUGCCUGACCAUUCCUGAGCCCAGGUAGGGGUCCUGGGGGAUUGGGUUCAGUGGCGGGCGGCGUGGGAGGCUGGGCCGCAGUGAGUGGGGGCACCAGUGGUUCUUGGAGACCAAGCCUUCACUACACGUGCUACUUCCUCUCAAGAGGCGGUUGAGCGCGUUCGGAACAUUUUACCCGGAGGAGACUCGGGGAUUACGUGAUGAGUAACCUCGUGCUUCUCUUUCAGCAGAGAAGUGGGGCUUCUCCUGCAUGACCUGGGUGGACCCCAGUAGGUGGGGUGGGACGUGUGGUCAGGAGGGACCUCACCGGAAGGCAUGGGGUGGCGUGUAGACCUGCCGCAAGAGAGGCUGUAGAGUGGGCCAGGCGUUGCAAGGAGCUAGAGCUGGAUAAUGGUUCAGAGGCACAAGCUGAAGCUAACUGCGUUUGGAGCUAACUGCAUUUGUUCCUUUCUAGGUGGGAGCGGUGGCUGAGGUGACGGUCUCAAAGUGGAAGAGCUUACUGUCACAGCAACUCCUUUGCAAGAUGCCCCGGUAAAUCACGUUGCAGAGACCCCAACUCUGCCUUCCUGGAACUAGGCCUGCGUUUUCUCUGAACCAUUAUUUCAUGGGGAAAAUGAAAUCUACUUCAUGUGCCUGGUCUACUUACUCCUUCAGAAGUGAUUUCUGAGCCAUAAGAUACAUGAGAAAAAAAUGAAAGGGAAAAGGCAGUAUUUAUAUUAACUACAUGAUGAUAAGGAUGUUUCUGGUCACAGUGAAAAGCCAUGCUAGAAUUGUAGUGUCAUAGACUAAUGUGGAAGUUCGUGUUGUCUGAUCUAUUUAAUAAUUUAAUAAGGUUAUCUCUUCCAAGACACCUUCCCUUCUUCCUCAGCCAGAAAGGAUCUUUCCCUGAGAGUCAUCAGUAGCUCUGGGCUCCUGGAACCAAGCUCAGGUGCCUAAUUGAACUCUGGUCUCUUCCCACAGCCCCCAGCAGGGACUGGUGCUUAGUGAGAGUGGACUGCCAGCCCCCAGCAGGGACUGGUGCUUAGUGAGAGUGGACUGCCAGAUUCCUUAAGUGUGGGGGAUUUGGGUGAAUGAGGUUAGCAAGCCUCCAGCGUGCUUGGGUCUGCGGUGACCCUAUGCAUUCCUUCAGUGCUUGCUAGAACAGUUUUGAAACGGUUUGAGGCCUUGCCCUGCUCCAUCCAGAGCAAGGUUAUAGAAAUUUCAGACAAUGACUUCCUCCCUCCUGGAUCUAGUGUCCUGGGCCUUGUAUAGAUCUGUGCCAUCUAAUGUGGUAGCCACUUGGCAUGCAUGAUUAAAUUAAAUUUGGAGUUCUAUUUCAUUUUCACACUAGCCACAUUUCAGAUGAUCAGUAGCCACAGGUGGCCAGUGGCUACCAUAUUGGACCGCACAGAUUAGAGGGCAUUUCUGUCGCUGUGGAAGUUGUUUCGGACAAUGCUGGUGUGAAAGGUGAAGGGAAUCCUGAGUGUUUGCUGUGCUCCAGGCUCAGUUCAAAUUUUAUUUUAUUAUACACUUAAAGCAAAAGUCUUAUAAAAGUUGAGGAUGAAGCCAAGAGAGGUGGUAAGGGUAGGAGUUGAAACAGUGAAGAGGAAUAACAGGGAAGAGUCCUGCCCUGAGAGACUCAUGGAAUAGGAUAUUUACAAGGCAAAGCAAAGAGAACCCAAGUCUCAGUUCUGCAGAGGAGCUGAGUGCCCCAGGAGCUAGUGGAGGAUGAGGUCAAUGUAUGCUCAUCUUAAAGGAAAAACUCAUGGAAGAGGAAGGUGCUAAUGUUGUUGAACACCUAUUUUGUGCCAGACCUCUUAAUUGUUUUAAAUCUUUGAGGUAUCACCAUGAGGUCGUUUUUAAGUUCAGUACAGAUGAGGGGCCCAAGGUCAGAAUUACGUGUCCAGGGUUGCCCAGCCACAAACCUGCAGAUCAGGGUUUGAUGCCAGGCCUCUCUAACCCUGCAGCCUGAGUGGAAUAUAGAAGCCGGUGGGAAGUUUGGAUGGGAAGGAGAUGGAUGCCUUCAAGUUCUUGUCUUGGUGUUAGGUGUGUUAAAGGACUGGCUGGGAUGAGAAGAGUGUUGCUGGCUUGAGCAUAGCACGAGCAGCACAGCUCCUGUGUUCCUCUGGGUGGUGGGGUCACCUCUCUUAAAGGUAGAGGCUUCCAGCUGAUUCUGUCUUUUCAGGCCAGGAAUAGUUGCUGAACACCCCAGGAUGCUGAGGUCCCUCCUUGAGUCUCAUGUUCAAGCAGUCUUGUGAGUAAAGCACUGGCUACCCCUUUUCACUUACUAUCUUUUCAAGCAUGUUCUACCACCUUGGAAGGUAAGAGGUUAGUACCUUCUUCCAGAGCAGAGGGCAGGCAUUCUUGCUGUGCGUUGUGAAAGGGUAGAGUCCUGCGCUCCCUUCUUGUAGUAGUCCAAUGGCUCAUGCAGGUGCCUCUGACUCCCCUAUGGGAACUGGGGCUUGGGAGGGUGGUGGAAAAUGCUGAUGCUCUGGCUAUUGCUAUUGUUUUGACUAAUCAGUGGUCCCUUGUCCCUAAUCGAGGAAUUUUGUAUUUUCUACCAGUGUCCAUGAAACUGGGAGGUGACCGUGUUAGCUGCCAGUUCCUGACAGCCACCUCUCACCAGUGGCUUCACUCUGUGUCCCUGACCCAGCACAUGGCACAAGAGUGCCUGCCAUCCCUCAGUGUUUCUACAGCAGCAAUCCCGAGAUGCUGGAGCUAGAGGGGACCUGACCUGAGAGAAGAUACCUUCAGUGGCUGCCAGGCUGUUCCUUGGAACCUGUGCAGGGAUGAGGCCUGCCUGUGUUAAUACACCUAGUGAGGAGUGGAGCUGAAUUUGAAUGCAAGCCUUGGCACCUUAAUUGAGCAAGUUUGAAACCUCGCUUGUUGCCCUUCUGGAAGGAGUCAGGAAUUUCCAGUUCUGGGCCUGGGGCUGUGGGUCUGACAGACAGACCUCUGGCCCUAGGUUUGGGUGCCAGGUUCUCUGCUUCCAGAAUGAGAAGCUUUGCUGUGCACCAGGACCUGGGCCCUUCUGGUAUCUCCUGAAUGAAAAACAAGGGAUAUUUAAUAAAUAUGGAUUUAAAUAUGUGA
This 3158-nucleotide long non-coding RNA is filed under the name Pan troglodytes (chimpanzee). Its description in RNAcentral is "lincRNA". The stretch from base 1167 to 1299 matches the Rfam family "Small nucleolar RNA SNORA9". Lineage: Eukaryota; Metazoa; Chordata; Mammalia; Primates; Hominidae. The record is from RNAcentral.